RNA transcript from Corticium candelabrum, 4119 nucleotides. It is a transcript of the gene named cilia- and flagella-associated protein 221-like, with no coding region annotated. The record is from RefSeq and is a predicted model, not a curated record. The transcript has 23 exons. Lineage: Eukaryota; Metazoa; Porifera; Homoscleromorpha; Homosclerophorida; Plakinidae.
CUCAGUGAUGGCGGCCGAUUCUUCUGCCAUCAACUUGAGAACUUCUAGAGGAACGGUGAUGGAGCGGACUGUACCAAACCACAUUCUAGACACAAAGAUAUUCUCACAUAUUGGUAAGAGUGCUGUUGCUCACGCCAGUCCUUCGAUCUUGUAUUUUUCCGGCUUCCAGCCGCAUCGUUGCUACUCAAAAACAUUGAGAGUCACAAACAUUUCAAAUUAUUGUCAACGAUUUCACAUAAUUCCACCCACCACACCUCAUUUCAGUGUGAAAGUCAAGAACAAAGGCAACCUCGUGUCUGGACUUAGCUAUGAGGUUAAAGUGGAGUUUAGACCUGAUGAUUAUCACAACUAUCACGACAUGAUCAGAAUCCACUGCCAGAAUGAAGAGAAUGUUGUAGUGCAUGUGUAUGCGUAUCCAGUGAUGGACAGCAGCCAAUUUCCAAGGAACGUUACAUUUUCCCCGACUGCUUUGAAUCAGAGCAAAGUGCAAGUCUUCAAUCUAAAAAAUCCCAUUCCAGUGCAGUUUGAAUUUCAGUUGCAAGUUUUGCGGAAUCAUCCAGCAUUUGCAGUGGAACCAAUGGAUGGUGUUGUUCCCGCUUGUGGAUUCGUGGAGAUUCAAGUUACAUUCAAGCCAAUUGAUUUUACAACUGCAAUAAUGAAGUUGCAGUUGUGUUUAUCUCAGUUCAAUUUUGAGCCAGUUCUUUGCACUAUUAGAGGAAGUUCAACUCCGGGACUACUGAAAGAGCAACAGCAACAUGCUCCUGACCCUGAAACCAGGAGUUCUGUCUCAGAUACAGAGAGUGACUUAGAUCCUCGUUCUGUAACUCCACUAGCGAGAACACGUCUGAAACGACAAGAAGUUAGACGUCUGACAAAACAUCGCGUUGAACCAGUCACAAGUCAGCAAUCAAAAGCUGUUGUCUAUGAAGGCGUGAGGUUUCCAGCUCGGUUGGAUAAUCCAAGUGCCGUCGCUGCUGUACUCAAUCAGCAGACAGGAAAGUUGAAAGCAAAAUAUUUGAAAUCAGCAGCGGCUGGUGAAUCUUCUGGGGAAUUUGAUGUGCAGCAAGUAAAGGAAGCAGCUUAUGAACAGCAGGUUCGGCAAGUAAUGGCAGAUGAGAGAGCAAAUCAACUGAGAUGGAUGACUCGCCUUGGUGAUGACCUCAUAACAGAUGAGAAACGUCAGUGCGUAUUGCAAGCAAGACAGGAAGCUGAUGGUAUAUACAAAACAAAGCAGCGGAUUCCGUCAGCAACAGUGGAAUUUAAUCGAUCAAGCAUUGCCGCUUACAUCUCUAGAACGAGAAGACAAGCACACGAUGUGUCAGUGUUUCAACCAAGAUUUAAUUUAUAUGAAAACGAUACGUGGGGAAGGAGGCAGGUUGCUCUGAACAGAUUUGUUCAGGCAGCAAGAAAGGUGAUUGUGAGAACGAGAGCUCAAGGACGGUUGCAUUACGUUCAAAACUUUGUUAGUGAAUGGCAAAGAGGCAACUUUUCAUUCAAGUCAAAACUUGAUUUAGCUCUUGCAGAAGAGCAGAAAACCAACAAGUUAGAUGUCGUUGGUCUCAAUACAAGCUUGUUUGUAUCACAACCCUUUGCUGGAUACUUAUCUGAGGACGAGGAUGAGAUGCCUACUGACACCUCACUGGGUCCCUGUGCAGUGCAGCCACCACAAGGUCAAAUAAAAACAUCCAUAUUCGUUCCAUUCGUCCACAUCUCGCAUCCAAUAGAGUAUCAUUUGCUUGGCUAUCGUGCUCUGUUGUUUACAACUGCAAUGGAGUAUAAACAACCGGGUCUGAGACAUGAGCUACGCAGUGGAGCUGAGGAUGAACUUGCUCACCUGGAUGGCACUGCAAAUCAACAGCUACCUCUCAUAGACAACCUUUUACUUCCCUCUUCUCCUUCGUCACAAAGAGAAGUCCAAGAGUCACCAACAGAAGACUCCACUGUGUCAAUUUUGCCACCACCAUCUAACCUCACAGCAACCGUUCAGUAUCCUGAACUGCAUAUAUUUAGUCCAGUUCCCGCCCUCCAGAGAUUCCACCCAAUGCUGCCCUACUCAGAAAUCGACGACUACUACCGCUUCUCCCCACAACCUCUCUAUCCUACUCAAACAACAAGAGAGAAAGCAAGAGCAACAACUCGUUUAGACCUCGACAGAGAAGAUGUGAUUCCUGGUUUCAUGCAGUGGAAGACGUUUCCAUGUCAGAGUCUUGUGGCUGCGAGUUCUGUGCCGUCUUUCUCGUCGGUUUGGUUGCCCAGAUGCUCAUGACAAUCACAUUGCAAUACGUUGUAUUGAUGGCAUUGAUUCUUUGCACAAGCAUCUCUCUCUCUUUCUCGAUCACUUUCGUAGCUGGUGAACUGCUGUCAAGCGAGAUACUACACACACACACACACACACACACACACACACACACACACACACACACACACACACACACACACACACACGAGUCGGUAUGUAAAUCAGUGUGCAUGCAAAUCAAUACAGUACGGCAUUACCUACAAGUUCUUUUGAGUUCAACUUGAGACACUUUGUGAUUCACAUUCAAUUUUUGAAUUUUUAAUCAGACUUUCUGUAUACAUACAUACAGUAUUAUCUGUUAGGUUGUUGGGCUAAUGGUUUGUGGCCCAGAUAAACUAAUAAUUAUGUGAGUCUUACAGACGGAGAGUGAUUGGUAGUCUGCAGCAAUUUCUUUGGAUGUGAUGACCAAGAAUGAUGUUAUUCAGUUAACCUGCCUUUCACCUCUGGCUCAUGAUAUCACAACACGUCUCAUUGAUGGCGAUGAUUCUCUGCACUUAUCUCUCUCUCUGUAAAUAUCUUUGGUAUUAGGUGAGCUGCUGGCAGGUGAGAUGCUCCUCACAGUCUCUAUGAACUCUCUCUGCUCUUCCAGUGAAACACGUCUUCUUCUCUUGGCCAUGGCAAGAAAAAAUUCUUCUCGUUUGAUGUUACCUGCAAUCAGUUAGGAUGAUUUGCACACUUCAGGUGUUGUGUGUGACAAUGUGGGAGAUCAAUGGAAAUAGAGUGUUUGAGAAGCAUGCUACCUCAUCUAUGACAAUGACAACAUGGGGAGCUGGUCACAAGAAAUUGAAGUGGGAGGGUCUGGCUAUGGAAACUAAUUGAGAGCGUCUUUUGUGUUGGAAACAUUAGAUUACUUGGAAAGGUUCAAUUCCAGACUGGAUUACACCUUUUCCGGAUGUGGGUGUGUGAGGAGGAGUAUAUAAGAGCAGCUCACCAGCUCACUUCAUCAUCAGUAUCGAGGAUAUCGGUCAUCAUGUUUUCAUUGUUUGUGACAAUUAUUGUGGUCAUUCAAGUCAUUGCUACUUGUGGUGCUCAAAGUGUGUCAGAUGAGAGAAAUCAGCAGACAUGUGUGCCUGCUGGUGUUCCAGGAGUACCUGGAUCACCUGGGUUGCACGGAUCACCCGGACGAGAUGGAAUGAAAGGAGAAAAAGGAUUGAAGGGAGAGAGAGGAUUAGUUGGAGAUGUCGGUGGUAAAGGUAAUGCUGGGAAGAUAGGUCCGCAAGGAAUAAGAGGAGAACAAGGCAGGAAAGGAGAAACAGGAAGAAAAGGAGAAACAGGAGAAGCCGUGAAGCUCAACUGGAAACAGUGUGUGUGGACCAGAGAGGAUGGGAAGGACAGCGGCCUGAUUCAGAACUGUAAUUUUAGGAAACAUGACAGCAAUUCAGCUCUACGUGUUGCCUAUGCAGGAAAUCUCAGGGUUUACUGCACCAGUGGUUCUUGCUGUUCUCGAUGGUAUUUUACAUUCAACAGUAACGAGUGCAGUGGACCUAUGACUAUUGAGGGAGUUGUGUAUGGUUAUCCAGCUAAUGAUAAUCCUCUCCGUCACAGACAGAUUGAGGGAUACUGUGAGAACAUUCCAGCAGGUCAAGUCACAAUUGGAUUCAACAUUGGAAAGUGUAAUAACGUUGCACAGUAUGAUGGCUACACAGGAUGGAAUUCAGUAUCUCGCAUUAUGAUUGAAGAAGUGCCUCCAGCACAAAAAUGACAGAGAAAUUAGAACUUGUGUUCUAUACACUAGAUAAACGCGUACAAUGUACUCGAUGCAAAAUCCAUGCAUUGUCAAAAUAUAAAUCAUUAAUUAAUAACAAUAAUUUUACCAUUUG